GAUGAACGCUAGCGGCAGGCUUAAUACAUGCAAGUCGAGGGGCAGCACAGGUAGCAAUACUGGGUGGCGACCGGCAAACGGGUGCGGAACACGUACACAACCUUCCUUUAAGCGGGGAAUAGCCCAGAGAAAUUUGGAUUAAUACCCCAUAGAAUACUGGUGAGGCAUCUCAUUAAUAUUAAAGAUUUAUCACUUGAAGAUGGGUGUGCGUCUGAUUAGGUAGUUGGCGGGGUAACGGCCCACCAAGCCAUCGAUCAGUAACUGGUGUGAGAGCACGACCAGUCACACGGGCACUGAGACACGGGCCCGACUCCUACGGGAGGCAGCAGUAAGGAAUAUUGGUCAAUGGACGCAAGUUCUGAACCAGCCAUGCCGCGUGGAGGAUGAAGGU
Molecule: ribosomal RNA, 391 nt
Filed under: uncultured bacterium
Lineage: Bacteria
Description: bacterial SSU rRNA
Rfam family: Bacterial small subunit ribosomal RNA
Source: RNAcentral